RNAcentral lists this ribosomal RNA (476 nucleotides) under Cytospora sp. RNAcentral describes it as "partial large subunit ribosomal RNA". It matches the Rfam family "Eukaryotic large subunit ribosomal RNA", at positions 402 to 902 of the family's 3401-position model. Lineage: Eukaryota; Fungi; Ascomycota; Sordariomycetes; Diaporthales; Cytosporaceae. The record is from RNAcentral.
AAAUUGUUGAAAGGGAAGCGCUUGUGACCAGACUUGCGCCGGGCAGCUCAUCAGGGGUUCUCCCCUGUGCACUCUGCCCGGCUCAGGCCAGCAUCGGUUCUCGUGGGAGGAUAAGAACGGUAGGAACGUGGCCCCCUUUCGGGGGGGUGUUAUAGCCUGCCGUACGAUACUCCCGUGGGGACCGAGGUUCGCGCUCCGCAAGGAUGCUGGCGUAAUGGUCAUCAGCGACCCGUCUUGAAACACGGACCAAGGAGUCGUCCAUUAGAGCGAGCGUUUGGGUGUAAAACCCGCACGCGUAAUGAAAGUGAACGCAGGUGAGAGCUUCGGCGCAUCAUCGACCGAUCCUGAUGUCUUCGGAUGGAUUUGAGUAAGAGUUUUAACGGACGGACCCGAAAGACAGUGAACUAUGCUUGUAUAGGGUGAAGCCAGAGGAAACUCUGGUGGAGGCUCGCAGCGGUUCUGACGUGCAAAUCGAU